AUUGAACGCUGGCGGCAGGCCUAACACAUGCAAGUCGAACGAGUGGCGGACGGGUGAGUAAUGUCUGGGAAACUGCCUGAUGGAGGGGGAUAACUACUGGAAACGGUAGCUAAUACCGCAUACCAUCAGAUGUGCCCAGAUGGGAUUAGCUUGUUGGUGGGGUAACGGCUCACCAAGGCGACGAUCCCUCGCUGGUCUGAGAGGAUGACCGGCAACACGGGACCUAGGACACGGUCCAGACUCCUAGGGGAGGCAGCAGGGGGGAAUAUUGCACAAUGAGCGCAAGCCGAAUGCAGCCAUGCCGGGUGUAUGGGGAGGGCCUUCGGGUUGUAAAGUACGUUCAGCGGGGAGGCGUUACCCGCAGAAGAAGCACCGGCUAACUCCGUGCCAGCAGCCGCGGUAAUUC
Molecule: ribosomal RNA, 406 nt
Filed under: uncultured bacterium
Lineage: Bacteria
Description: partial 16S ribosomal RNA
Rfam family: Bacterial small subunit ribosomal RNA
Source: RNAcentral